Molecule: ribosomal RNA, 402 nt
Filed under: uncultured bacterium
Lineage: Bacteria
Description: bacterial SSU rRNA
Rfam family: Bacterial small subunit ribosomal RNA
Source: RNAcentral
UAUUGGACAAUGGGCGCAAGCCUGAUCCAGCAAUACCGCGUGUGUGAAGAAGGCCUUAGGGUUGUAAAGCACUUUCAAUUGGGAGGAAAACCUGCCGGUCAAUACCCGGUAGCUUGACAUUACCUUUAGAAGAAGCACCGGCUAACUCCGUGCCAGCAGCCGCGGUAAUACGGAGGGUGCGAGCGUUAAUCGGUAUUACUGGGCGUAAAGCGUGCGUAGGCGGUUCGUUAAGUCAGAUGUGAAAGCCCUGGGCUCAACCUGGGAACUGCAUUUGAAACUGGCGGACUAGAGUUUAGUAGAGGGGAGUGGAAUUUCAGGUGUAGCGGUGAAAUGCGUAGAUAUCUGAAGGAACACCAGUGGCGAAGGCGACUCCCUGGACUAGAACUGACGCUGAGUACGAAA